RNA transcript from Harmonia axyridis, 1217 nucleotides. It is a transcript of the gene named three-prime repair exonuclease 1-like, with no coding region annotated. NCBI's taxonomy places the organism in Eukaryota, Metazoa, Arthropoda, Insecta, Coleoptera, Coccinellidae. The transcript has 4 exons. The record is from RefSeq and is a predicted model, not a curated record.
UAAUUGGCGUUCUGGACGUAUUUUUUCGCUAAAUCAGUGCUCAGUGUAUCCAGUGAUCAUUAUAAAGCAAGAAUUAUCACAUCAUAUUUCCCCAUAACAAUCUUUGUAUCGUUAUCAGUACCUUAUUGAUCUCAAAUUAUCACGAAUAGCCUAGAGGAUCCACCGCUUUUCAGAAUUUCAUAGUGAAUAUGAAUUAGCUCUUGUCUUCAAAUUUGCAACUUGAGUGUAGGAAUUUUCUUGUUUGUGAUUGGUUUUGUCUCAAUUUUCUUUAUUAGGUAAUCGCAUGUAGAAUCAGGACUGAAUGAUGAUGAUAUUGUACAACAAGUUGUAAAAUAUGUAUUUGACCUUGAUGAUAUGCUCGAACCACGUCUAAUUUACUACGUAAUAUAGAUCUAGAAACAACUGGAUUUCCUUCACAAAAGAGCACAACAAGAAUCACCGAAUUAAGUAUUUCAAUUGUGGAAAGCAAGCAACUUUCUUUAGGAAUUUUUCCUACGGUACUCGACAGAAUUAAUUUAUGCUUCAAUCCAUGCAAAUUUAUUUCUCCAUAUGCAACCAGAAUAUCUGGUUUAUCCAAUCAUUUAUUGCAGAAUCAGUCUAGAUUUUCUUUGAAUGUUGUCAAAACCAUUGAUAAUUUCCUAAAUUUGCAUAAGAAACCCAUUUGUUUUGUGGCUCAUAAUGGUGAUCGUUUUGAUUAUCCUAUAUUGAGAGCUGAAAUUAACAAUGUUAAAGGAACAACUUUCGAAGAUAUUUUGUGCAUAGAUUCCCUGAAAUGUUUCAGAGAUCUGCAUGUAGAAUCAAAUACUUCAAUAGCAUCACCAUCUAAUGAAUAUUUCUGUAGAGAAGAAGUUGACGGUCCUUUUUCUAAGAAAGCAAAGGAUAUUCCUAUAGAAUUCAGUGAUGGUCUUGAUGAACUGUUAUGUAAGAGUGUGGAUGAAUACGAAGAAUUCGUUCAAAUGCAAAAUAUCCAGAAAAACAAUGAAACAACACCACAAAAGCGAAUAAAUUCUAAAAAAUAUUACAAAUCUGGAAAACAGAGGAUUAGUUUCAAAUUAAAGGAUAUUUAUAAACGGUUGACUUCAAAUAAACCCAAAAAUUCUCACCAAGCUGAAGUUGAUGUUGAGUAUUUAAUACAAUGUGCAAUAAAAUACGGUGAUGUCUUCACAAGAUGGGCUAAUGAUAAUGCCAAAUUAUUCAAGGAUAUUCCUCAAAUGAAG